CAGUAGCCACGGUAAUACAGAGGGUGCGAGCGUUAAUCGGAUUUACUGGGCGUAAAGCGUGCGCAGGCGGUUAUAUAAGACAGAUGUGAAAUCCCCGGGCUCAACCUGGGAACUGCAUUUGUGACUGUAUAGCUAGAGUACGGCAGAGGGGGAUGGAAUUCCGCGUGUAGCAGUGAAAUGCGUAGAUAUGCGGAGGAACACCGAUGGCGAAGGCAAUCCCCUGGGCCUGUACUGACGCUCAUGCACGAAAGCGUGGGGAGCAAACAGGAUUAGAUACCCCGGUAGUCCCUGUCUCUUAUAC
RNAcentral lists this ribosomal RNA (301 nucleotides) under uncultured bacterium. RNAcentral describes it as "partial 16S ribosomal RNA". It matches the Rfam family "Bacterial small subunit ribosomal RNA", at positions 509 to 807 of the family's 1533-position model. The record is from RNAcentral.